This 17339-nucleotide long non-coding RNA is filed under the name Setaria italica (foxtail millet). RNAcentral describes it as "long non-coding RNA (SITA_LNC000170)". Lineage: Eukaryota; Viridiplantae; Streptophyta; Magnoliopsida; Poales; Poaceae. The record is from RNAcentral.
CCUAUUGUCGGGGGAAAUACCUUUUUGGAUAGCAGAGCUAGCGAAUUUGGAGAUGUUGUUUUUGGAAGGUAAUCGACUCAGUGGACCAAUACCAGCCUGGAUCAACACAUUGGAAUACCUUUUCUACUUAGACAUAUCAAACAACAACCUUACAGGAGAAAUUCCGACAACAUUAAUGGCUAUGACAAUGCUAACUUCAGAGAAGACUGCAGCUCAUUUGGACCCAAGGGUCUUUCAUCUGCCAGUUUAUCGUGGUCCAUCACUUCAAUACCGCAUACCAAUUGCUUUUCCUAAAGCUCUAUACCUAAGCGGAAACAAAUUUACGGGUGUGAUUCCUCCAGAGAUUGGUCAUUUGAAAGCCCUCACUAAACUCGAUAUCAGCUUCAACAACUUGACAGGACCGAUCCCCCCAUCCAUCUGCAAUCUCACAAACCUGCAGUUGCUAGAUUUAUCCAACAACAAUCUCACAGGUGAAAUCCCAGCUGUAUUGGAGAACCUGUACUUCCUUGCCGUAUUCAACGUUUCUAAUAAUAAUCUCCAAGGGCCUAUCCCAACUGGCGGGCAAUUUAAUACAUUUCCAAAUUCUAGCUUUGCUGGGAAUCCAAGGAUGUGUGGACCUGGGCUUAAUCACCAUUGUACUUCGGUAGAGGUAGGUCUUGCGCCCACUGGCUCCAGAGGACUGUGUGGUGGCGACAUCGUCUUCGCUGUAUCCUUCAGUGUUUUCAUUGGAGUAGGAGUGCUAUAUGAUCAGAUGGUACUAUCCAGAUACUUCGGCUAGGAAAAACUUGCUUCAGCAACGUGUCCUGGAUUGAAGAAUGAAUAUAGGCACUGGAUGUAAUCAUGCAACUGAAGCUCUCAGCAAACAACGGGAACUUUGUAAGAAGUUAAUACCCAUAUAGAAACAUGACGUAAUCUCCAGUGUUUUUGCUUGAGCAAGUCCGACUUCGUUGGUCCAAAAACAUAAUCCUGCAAGCAAAUUCAGGAAUGGAGCGUUUACUGUCAGUAAACAGAGCAAUAUAUGUAUCUACAUCUUUUCCAGAGCACGGUAAAUAUUUUCAAAGUUUACUUUCACAUGUGUGAACACACGUGCUAAUCAGAUUGCUUAUCGAGGUGAAAAUAUUUGCUUUUUACAGUACACUCUCAAAGAAAUUAGUAGCUCAGAUUGUUUGUUUGGGUGUAGACUACUAGUAGUAGCUUAUAAUCCAAACUUAUCAUCCUAAUAAUUUGUAGAGGCGUGAGAUAACCAGCCGGUUUGGUGUCACUUAAUCGCACCUAAUUACCAAUUAUACAGGCAGGGCGAGCAAGAUGGAAAUUGACCUAAAACUAAAUUCUUCCAUUUGGCUCGAGAAUUUCAACAAAUGGUCGGAAGCAUCGCGCAGACAGUACCAAACCGUAAAUCUCCGUACGUAAACCUUGGGAGGGAGCAGAGCGGAGAGGUCGCCGAACGUACCACGCCAUCGGGCGCCCUGCAGAGCCGGGUCCGCCCCGGCCCCCCCCCCCCCCCCAGCCCCGGCCUUCGUACGCCGGCGCGCGUGCCCAUUUCUUCACCGCGCCGCCGCCCGCCGAUGCUGCUGCUCCGCUCUGGGACUUGGGAGGCGCCUGCGUGUUGGGAGAUGAUGAACUUGGGCCGGACCAUGAUCGGGGCGGGGGGACAUAGACCGAGCCGUUUUAGAUAGCAUCUUUGUUCGGCCUGCGAGGCGAGUAUUUUGAGCUGCUGGUGGUCUCUCGUUACAAACUGGGCCGCUUGCGGAGCAGUUUGGUCAUGAGGAGACUUUUCUUUCUUCAUAUUCUUUUUCCUUUUUCUAGGACCAUUGGCCAUCAAGCCUUCAUAAGUAUAUAUUAUUUGAUUUAGUACUUUUAAUAAUUUUUCUUCGAAACACAUUACGGGUGAAAAAACUGAUACACGCAUCACUCGACCCCUACGACUAAAUCCGCGCACACCAACCGUAAUUUCCUCGUGCGCUGCGCCCAGAUAGGGUCCCAUCGGAGGCGUGCGUGGCGAUUUCCUCACGCGUCGUCGCGAGGAAAUUAAGGCUAUGUUGGGUAUAACUUCAACUUCACAAUUUUUUUUUCUCCAAUGUCAAACUCUACUUGAGCUUGCUUCGAGUGGAAUUGGAGCCGUGUGCCCGUGGGCAAAAAUCUAGUAGGGUGAGGAUACGGGUGCCAUUUUGUAACUAUAGGUACGGAUCCAGGUUUGAGUUUGUGCUUGCGGGUAAAAAAUUAGCGGGUAUAAAAAUAUCUUACUCGUGCCCGCAAACCCGCCUACCAUGUGGACCAUGUGCAAGUAUAUAAUGGAUUUUUCUAGAGUUCCGUCUACUCCUUAUCCUCCCAUUGUCCCGCAGCCUGCAGCCUCCGCUCGGCCGCUCCCACUCCCGCCGAGGCGCAAACCUGCACCAUUGGUUCCCUGCCGCCCGCCCUCGCCCAGGUGGCCGCCGCUAGUUCCCCCUGCUACCCGCCCUCACCCAGGCGGUUGCCGCCAGUUCCCCAGCCGCCCGUCCUUGCCCAUCGCUUCCCGCCGCCCGCCCUCGCUCCCCGCUGCCACCGCUCCGCCCGCCCACCUCCCGCCGCCCCAACCGCUGGUCAAUCCACUCAGUUUUCUUCCUUCUCUGUGAUCUGGCUUGAAGAAGAAAUUGAAUAUGUGAUCUGGCUAUGAUUAAGAUGUGUAGGUUAUCUGUGAUCUAGCUACUGGCUUGUGAACUGUGAUCUGGCAGGUACCGGUGUGCCCAUGGGUAACAGGUGCGGGUACAAGUUCUUUCCCGUGACGGGUCACGGGCACAGGAUUUGCUUCGCUGACGCGAGUUUGUAAACCCUCUGCCUGCGGGUAAUGUGCCCGUUGCUAUCCAUAGGCUGGAAUGGUGCUCUUUGCUUCACAAAAGAGAAUUAACCUUCGUGUGAGCUAUUCUUUCUCGGUCCUGUGAAGUGGUUUAUCAGAUGAAAUCCGACGGACUGCCGAGUUAACUUGAUUAAAGCACAUGAUCGCGUGUUAGGCGACUUAAUUGUGCUUUAGCUAAGUUAAUUAGGGCGGUUCCGCCACAAUUUGUUCUUUUUUAUUUUUUCCUUUUGCGCUUAUCUUCUUCGUCGGGCCCUUCGAGGGUCGCCCGCGACCCUGCUCCGGCGAGGUUUUGAUGGCUCCGCUAGGGGAUGAGGGUGGCGGUGGUGGUGGGAUGGGGACGCCGGUGGUGCGGGAAGGGCUCGGCAGGAGGCAGCGCGGCUAGGGCGCAUCGGCGGGGGCAUCAGCGAGGCGAGGUAAGGCACGUGCCGACAAGCUUGGGGUGGGCGGAGUCGGGCAGCGAUGGAGACGAGCUUGGGCCGUGCGGCGUCAGGCACGGGGACGACGAGCCUAGGGUGGGCAGAGUCGGGCAGGAUGACGAUGAGCUUAGGGCGACGGUGGGCAGCUGGAUCUGGGUGGCGUCCAGGGUCCAGCCAGGGGCGGGGAAAUAGUGGCUCCGCGGAGUCCCUGGUCCUCAGAUGCACGGCGGGUGAGAGAGGGAUGGCUCGAGCAGCAAUCUGGUCAGGUGGGGGUGGUGGCAGUGCCCUUGACCCCCUGCGCGGUGAGUCGGGAGAGACGAGGGGGCGGAUGGGUGAGAGAGGAGGCGUCAGAAGAAUGAAAUUAGAACGAAUCGGUAAUGAGCCAUAAAGGUGGGUAAAUAACCCUGAACUUCGCGUCUAGAUCCAUAUUUGAGCGUUCUGGAGUUGCAAAUUCAGUGGGGACAAGCGAGAGCUCCGACUCCGAGUGCUCCAACGACGACGAGUGCUCAGACGACGACGAGGUCCUAAGCAUCGCGAUUGGGCGGUGCGUGGUGAUCCUGUCGGAGGUGCUGGAGAGCUGGGAGGCCGCGGAGGAGCGGCGCGGCCACACGCGGCAGACACGCCGCGAGGCCGGCGAGCAGUGCGUGGCUUUGCUCAUCACCGCCGUCAACCAUUGAGGAGAACGGGAGCUGUAUCACUCAUUUGCGCUGGGAGCCGAGAUGCAGGGAAGGGGAACCAUCGCACCUGGAGAGCUGAGCGAGCCUUGUCCUUGCAUAGAGCCGCGUCCAUCAGAGUGCUGGAAGCCGAGUCCAUAGAAAUCGUCGGAUCGCUGGGACGUCCACACAUCAGCCAUCCAAUGUGGGUCCGCACGGGAGGAACUGUGCGCACUGUCCCCACUGAAUUUUCUUCCGCAAAUAAGGUGCUCCACAAAAAUUCUAUGGAGUUAGGGCGUGUUUGGAACUACUCCGCUCCAGUUUUUUCAGCUCCGCUCUCAAACCACCUUGCCAAACACCUCUAACUCCAACAAUCCCAACUCUAGAAAAAAGUGGAUCUGAAGGGCAACUCUAAGGUUUUUCUGGUAGGUUUCAUACCUUCUCUUGAAGUUGGGUGGAAAUUACCGACCAAUGCUACUGGUUACACAUGCACGUACCGGUUCGACGGAACAAUAGAUCAACGCCCCCUCCUACCCCCGACUGUUCAUCGACACCCCCCUCCCCUUCCCUCUCGCGACUGUUCUGUGCAGCCGCCGCCUCCUCCCCUCCCUCCGGCGCCCAAAAAACCGGCGGCAUGGACGUCGAUGAUGAUGCUCAACCCCUUUCCCCCAUCAUGGCACCGCGACGUCAAGCCCCAUGACAUCCUCAUGGAUGCCGCCAAGAAGGACGAUGAGGAGGACGGUGUUGAGGGCGAGGGAGAGGCGGCGCCAUGCACACGGCUGGCGGACUUCGAGUCCACGGCGUGGGUGGGCAUGGGGGCCUUGGCCACGCGGAGGGGCUGAUGGGGACGCCCCACUACGUGGCGCCCGAGGUGGUGUCUGGUGGCGAGUACAGCACCAAGGCCGAUGUGUGGAGCGCUGGGGCGGUGAUGUACGCACUGCUCUCCGAUGGCGCGCUCCCCUUCAGCGGUAAGAGCGCCGCGGAGGUGCCGGCGGUCGUGAUGCGGGGUAGCGUGCGGUUCCUUCCCAGGCUGUUCGGCGGCGUGUCCCCGGCCGCCAAGGACUUGAUGAGGCGCAUGAUCUACCGCGACGAGUGGAGGAGGUUCACCGCUGAGCAAGUCCUCGAUGAGUAAUCCCCUCAACCCCCUCUCUCUGCUCGGUUUUCUCAUCAAUCUCCGUUUGUUUUUGCGUCGACCCCAAGUUCGAUCCAGGAAUCUAACAAAUCUGCCGUUGUUAAUAUUGCAGCUCACCCGUGGAUCGUGAGCGGCGUUAGAGCCCGUGCUGUAGGGUAGCCAACCUAAAGCGACACACACCAACAGACCAUGGCGGAUGGGGCAUGUUAACAUGUAUCGUCGUAGAGAUACAGCCACGAACACUGACGUUGUGUAUACGGUUUUGUACGUAGGAACAGGGACCAAGGAGAGUGACGAAGAGUUUGUAUGCUGCUGCCGGCUGCAGCUUAGCAUCGUGCGGUGCCGUUGCAGCAAAGCAUGUCGAUCGGCGACAAAGCUUUUACUCUAUAGGUUUUUCCAGUACCUCGAUCUUCAUGCAAAAAAAAAAAAUUAGAUGAAGAACUGUAGCAAAUAGGUACUGUAGCUCAUGCAGAAAACACCAACCCCAACCAAGGGCAAGAAAGACUAUUUGCACCAAUUCUCACAAUUUCUAGAGCUGAAGUUUACACCGUUAGCCAAACAGGUUCAUAGCUCCUUAUUUUCCUGGAUUUGGUGGAGUGAAGCUAAAAAAGGUGGAGUUAGUGGAGUAGAGCUAUUUUUUCUUGGAGGGGAGCCGUCCCAAACAUACCCUUACAUUAUUCAAAAAGUGGUGGAGUUAACUUGUUUAGCUGGCUCCAUUCAACUCCGGACUAAAAUUUAAAUUCGGAGCCAUACAAAUAGGACAUAACCCCACAGUUUUUUUUGAAAAUAGGAACUCCCACAUUUCAAGCAUGGCUUGUUAGCUGAAACAGUCCAACGCGUUGAUCACGCGUUCCAAACAUGGGCGGAAGCCUGAAGAUGUCCAAAGGUAUGGGCCCGCAUGUCAGUACAGCAGCAGCCCGUUUCGUUCGUCCAGCUGUGACCGGAUGGGCAAAGCAGGCUGCAAUUACGGAUGGUGGUGCAUUUGGAUUUUCAGACUGAGUCGUGCUGUCGCGUUGUGGUGGGGUCAAGUUUCGAAAGUCUGAACCUGUAGUUAUGGACGUCGCCACCUCGCUCUUCCCCGUUUGCGAGGAUGGAUACAGAUGUCGGAAUAUUCAUUUUAAUGUGAGUAUCAAAUGAAUAUAUUCGAAUUUGAUUUUCGGUAUUUUUCUCUACUCGGUUCCAGAUUCAACUCAAAAAACCGUCUUGCUCGCGGAGGAACUACAAUGGCACCCACCUUCCCCCCACCGCCGCCCCGCCGCCCACCGCCACCCCGCCCCUCGCCGGCGACGACCGGACCCCCCUCGCCCCUACGCCUCCUCCGCAGAUCACCACCCCACCAAGCCCCCCUGCAGCCAUGCCCCCCACCACCAACCUCCCCACGCGCACGUUCGUCCUGGAAGAAGUUCUUCUCCCCGUCCCCGCCUCCACCCCCCCGCGACGGCCGACCACUGCCCCUCGACGAUGAGUGGGUGCCGGAUUCGCCAGAUCCACGCGUCCCCUCACCUGAUCUGCGGCUUCCGACGGCGGAUCUGGUGCCGGAGUGCCACCCCGGAAGGCGAAGGUCCUACGCGGAGGUUGUCAAGGGGGAGGCCUUCAAUUCCCCCACCUAUCCUCCCGUCCGGCGCUCCAAAGAAGUCCACCAUGGCCCUGCCAGAGGAAGAGGCAGUUACUCCGGCGACGCGACUGCUCUACGGCGCAGUCAACACACCACGACGUCAGUGGCUCACCGGGCCAAGCGCGACACGACACCGGGGCUCCAAACGCGUCAACCGGAUCAAGGGUGGCAGCCAGUGACGCGCCGUUAGGCGCAGGAGCGGGCGCCGCCCGAGAAGCCGCAACGAGACGGCGGACAUGACCGCCACUACAGGAGCUCUUCAAGGAAGCCACCCACCAAAGCUCUGCUCGACUUCAACCGCGUGACUGCGGGGCGAUGCUUCAUCUGCCUCGCACCUGACCACCGUGCCGCCUCCUGCCGUGACCCGGUGCGCUGCUUCCGUUGCAGACGCUUCGGCCACAAGGAGCGGGACUGCAAGGACAGGAUCGCCGCUUCCUCCCCAUCCCGCCCCAAAACCCCUACCAGCCACCGCCCUGUUCCCCCCGCGCCACGCCCAACUCCCAAGCCCCGGCCACGCAACCACGCCUCCGUCUCCACCAUGCCGCGCACCUUGCUCACAUCAGCUGCCCCACCUCUGCCGCCAAGCCGCAAGACCACCAGCAACAUGGCCAUUGGCGACCCCCACACGCGCCCGGAGGUCGAGACGAUCUUCGUCUCCGAUUCCUUCCACCUCGAGCACGACGCGAGGGAGUGGGAGGCAUGCGCCCUCAUCCCAUGGGCGCUACAUCUGCCGCCAGGUGCCGGAGCCUGGGACAUCGCGGGGCUCAUCAACAAGGAGCUACACCUGCGCCCCGGCGAAGUCAACGUCACGCUUCACCAGCCGGAACCGUACCUCGUCCGCUUCGACAGUGCGACACGGGCGGCGGAAGCACGGCGCCGCGGACGCUUCACUGGUGGGGGAAUCGACAUCUGCCUCCGGCCAUGGCGCAGCCUCUCCCACGCCCUCGGCUUCCGCAUCUUCUACAGGGUGCGGCUUUGCCUCGACAGCAUACCGAGCCACGCCUGGACGCCGGAAAUCGUCAAGCGCGUCAUCGGCCACAAGUGUGCAUUGCAGCACAUCGUCACCGACCUCAUCCAACCGGCGGACUCCAGGCACAUCGAGCUCUGGGCGUGGACGGUGGACCCGAGCGAGAUCCCGAAGAAGGUUUGGCUUGCUUUCGUCCACAACCCGGUAACCAAAUCCUCCACCUUCUCUGUGUCGGCCGAACCUCCUCUAAUGUCUUGGCAGCAAGGAGCCCGCUAUGAGGUCUUCAUCCAUAUGCCCCUCCUGGAGGACUACACGGCGGCGGCGCGCAAUCUUCAGCAAGCCGUCAACGACCCGGAGAACAUUACUCCGAUUCGUCGUCGGUACGAAUGGCGGUAUGGCCUUGUUGAUGGCGCCCCAUCGGACGCGAGAUCGCGCUUCCCGGCUAGGCUGCCGCGGCCACCGCGAGAGCCUGAUUCUCGGACCCACGACGACCACGGCGACAGAAGGAUGGAGGACCAGCGACGCGGGAGGAACGGAGCCUCUGGUGCCGCCGCCGGCGGGCGCGGAGUCUCCGGUGAAGGCGAUGCGGCUGGCGGCGGACACGGGCGGGGACGACACGCUCGCCAAGACGACAGGAGCCGCACCAAGCUCCGGACGGCCCGACAAUCCUGCAAAAGUGAUUUUGUCUGGCCGUCCCGGCGCGGGGGCGACGACGACGAUGAGCACCCGGACUACGACCACCCAGGCCAUGGACGCAAGUUCGGCGACGCCUACUGGGGCUGCACGGAUACUGGGCACCACGACCGCACCAGGUCACCGCCCCGCCGCAACUACGCGCCGCCACAAGGACGACAUCAUGCAAUCGGCGCGCAGGAGCAGAGCAUCCACAACACGUCCCACCUCCGAGCUCUGUUCCAGGCCCAGGCGACCGCGAUGAUGAAGAACAACCAGGUAACGACACCCACUAACUGUCUUGCUCUGGAAGCCAGGAACAGGGACCUCCACGCCGACGACUACGCACGCAAGAUCUCCUGGCUCGCCGACCGCCUAGGCUUCGACGACACACCCUCGGGGGAAAAAGCCUGGUCCGCAACCAUCCCGCUGCCCCAAGUCUUCGGCACCCUGCGGGCGGCACUCCUUCCGGCGACGCCAUCGCCGGGGGCGGCACUUCUCCCGGCGACGCCAUCGCCAACGGUGGCAGACAUCGAACGGGCGCUCGACGCCAUGUCUGUCGGCAUCGAGCAGGCCACAGCAACAGGAGGCCGCGCCGACGACCAAAAGAGGGGGCCGCUGGCUGCUGGGCCAACGGCUCAGGAGACGCCCCAGCUGGGCCACCGGCCCACAUCACAUGGCCCCGGCGCGACCUUCGCUGAGGGGCCGACUGCGACCGGGGCCUCCGUCCGCCGAUCCCCCAUACCGGGCCGCUCGCCAACGACACCGAUCCAGAUGGCGACGCAUGACGGCCCAGCGGCACAGGGAGCCCCCUCCCCGCCGUUUGCUGGGUCGCUGGCCCAUGCGGCCACCUCUGCAGAACGGGCAACUCGCCAGGUCGGGCCCAAGGACAUGGGCUUCAACGAGCAAGCCGGUCAAGAGAGCCCGCUGAACGGGCAGAGGGAGGAAGAGUAGGAUCUGAGGGAGAUUAAUUCCCUCUUUUGCAAUCCACCUCCACCACUGCUCCAGGAGCCGCACCCGCGUCGCCAACGUCAACGCCGCACCUUCGACAUGACAGCGGUUCGAAGGAGUGCACGACUGGCUAGGAAGCCAUCCAUCCCGGUGACCGAGAAGGCGCAAAGGAACUUAUGCCGCAAGCUGGGACUAACCACUAAAGAAAGGGCACCAAUUGACGAGGUCCUUCGCGACUUCCUGUCAAUGUUCCAAGGACCCAUCCCGGAGAACAUAGUGGCAGCCCUGACGGCCAUCUUUGGGUUGGACGAUGAAGGCGCGGACAUGCUAGGAGACGCACUCAUGAACCACGCAGGCACGGCCGCGGCGGAGCUACAGCAGAUUAAUGGGGACCCCACAGCUUAGAGCGGCGACAACAACUUCGAGCGUCCACCGUCACUACAUGUCGUUCGUCCUUAUGUUUGUAUCACCAACUGCACUGCAAAGCCCUGUUGGCUGCGACCUUCGGGCUCUUUAUCUUCCACGCCCUGCUGGCUUCGACCUUCGGGCAUUUAUUUGUAUCACGAACCUACGAACUGCCGUACACCUAGGGGGGUCUGCUGCCCACGUCGUUCUUAGGCCACGCCUAACAACAACCACAAACAGCACCUUUUGCAUAACCGCCGAAGAACUUAAUCGACCAAAACGCUGCAGCGACAUAUACUACAUGAGGCCGAAAACUGCUUUAUGACAUACGGCAACUUGGACAUUUUAUCGUGGAACGUUCGAGGACUAAACGCGGCAGCAUGCUGCCUACCCGUACAUGAUCUGAUGAGAUCGACGUCGUGUCAAAUUGCAUGCCUUCAGGAAACAAAACUGCAAUCCAUCGACUCCAGCCUGGCCGCCUUUCUAGGAGCCUACAAAUUAAACGGCUUUGCAUAUAAACCGGCGAUAGGCACGAAAGGAGGGAUCCUCCUCCUAUGGAACGACACGGCGGUACAAACUCAAAACAUAACAAUUGGUAGAUAUUCCAUAUCUGCGGAAAUAACAAUCCGGCAUUGCAUGACCACCUUCAAGCUGACCGUGGUAUACGGCCCGGUGCGACGACCCGAAAAAGAAGCUUUCCUAAGACACAUGCGACUGCUAAAACCAUCUGACGACACAAAAUGGAUAAUCCUAGGGGACUUCAAUUUAAUCUACCGUGCAAGAGAUAAAAACAAUAUGAACCUCAACCGGCGGCUUAUGAACAGGUUCAGAAACACCAUCAACUACUGCGGCUUAAAGGAAUUAAACCUGCAAAAUAGAAGAUUCACAUGGAGCAAUGAACGUAGGACACCAACGCUUGUCCGUCUCGACAGAGUUUUCUGCAACCAAAGCUGGGACCUCCAAUUUGAUAAUUGCCUACUGCACGCGCUAUCAUCAGCCCACUCCGACCACUCUCCUCUACUACUAACCAACCAUGCCACCCUCCGACGCCCGACAACCUUCAAAUUCGAAAACUUCUGGGUACGAUUGCCAAAUUUUCAACAGGUCGUCUCCACGGCUUGGAAUAGGCCGACUCAUCAUACGGAGCCUUUUCACAGACUGGGCCAUAAACUUUAUGUGACAUCGCAGGCGCUAAGACGCUGGAGCGAAUCAAUGCUAUCGGACGUAAAAAUGAAGAUGCAUAUGGCUCGGGAGGUCAUACUACGUCUCGAUGAGGCACAAGACAACCGCGCACUAUCUGCGGCGGAAACACAACUAAGGGGCAAACUCAAACAGAGACUCAUGGGAUGGGCAGUCAUCGAGAGAGCCAGGAAAAAGCAAUGCUCCAGAGUCACAUAUCUAAAAGAAGGAGAUGCCAACACAAGAUUUUUCCAUUUAAAGGCAAACGGCAGGAGGAGAAAAAACUUCAUUCAAAAACUAAGUAACGACAAUGGCUGGGCCUUCACCCAUAACGACAAACAACAAAUCGUGCAAGACCAUUUCCAAAAUGUUAUGCAGGAACCGCCGCGCAGAACGCUCGACUUAAACUGGUCCGCUCUAACCUUCCCGACUGUCGACCUGUCUACGCUCGAUAACCCGUUCAUGGAAGACGAAGUCCGACGGGCUGUCUCACAGAUGCCAAAAAACAAAGCGCCCGGACAUGACGAUUAUACAGGACUCUUCUUCACCACCUGCUGGGAGACGAUCAAAGGUGACCUCAUGGCGGCAAUAUCUUCCUUCUUCAACUCUCGCUGCACAGAUUUAAACCUACUCAACAAAGCCACAAUCAUUCUAAUACCCAAAAAGGAAGGGGCUGAGAGCAUAGCAGAUUACAGGCCCAUCAGCCUGAUCCACGCGAUUGCGAAGAUCAUAACAAAGACCUUAGCCCUGCGCCUAGCUCCAUUCAUGAACCAAUUAGUCUCACCGUGCCAAAGCGCUUUCAUCAAAGGAAGAAGCAUUCAUGAUAAUUUCCUCUAUGUCCAAAACCUGGCACGCCGAUUCCACACACACAGUCAACCGACCCUGCUUAUGAAGCUCGACAUAUCCAAGGCUUUUGACUUAGUACGAUGGGACUACCUCCUCACCAUGAUGCAACGCAGAGGAUUCCCACCAAAAUGGAGAGACUGGAUCGCGGCUAUCCUGACCACGUCAACAUCACGAAUUUUACUCAACGGACUCCCCCUAGAACACAUACAACAUGGAAGAGGACUCCGCCAAGGGGACCCGCUCUCACCGCUACUUUUCAUCCUAGCGAUAGACCCCCUACAGUACCUGCUAUCGGCCGCCACGGAAAAGAGACUGCUUCAAAAACUAAAUAACCGUGCGGCAAAAAUGAGAACAUCAAUGUACGCUGACGACGCGGUGAUUUUCAUUAAGCCUACUACAAGGGACGUCACAAAUCUGAAGAACCUCCUGCAAAACUUCGGGGAAGCGACAGGCCUCAAGACGAACAUCCAAAAAACUAGCGUCACACCGAUAAGCUGCUCCCACACUAACAUCCCAGAAGCGCUCCGCAAUCUCCCUGUGGCACAGAGGAAUUUCCCGAUAAAAUACCUGGGCCUUCCUCUAACGGUCGCACGACUACGCCGUAUAGAUUUCCAACCACUGAUCGACAAAGUGGCGAGCAAACUGUCAAAGUGGAAGGGAAGGAACCUCACACAGGCCGGUCGAUUAUGCCUCACCAAAUCCGUCCUAUCCUCACAGCCCGUCUACACCCUAACGGCCCUCAGAACGCCCAAAGAAGUACUAGAGGACAUCGACAAAAUCAGAAAACAUUUUCUAUGGGCGGGAGACAACGAGCUCACCGGGGGAAAAUGCAAGAUCAACUGGACAAGGACAACUUUACCAAAAGAGCAUGGCGGCGUGGGUAUUCUAGACCUUCAUAAAUUCGCAAGAGCACUCCGCCUCAGAUGGCUAUGGCAUGAAUGGGCUUCCCCGGACAAGACGUGGGUCGGAACCGCAACUCCAUGUGACGACCAGGAUAGACUGCUUUUCGCUGCAUGUACGACGAUCCAAAUCGGCAAUGGGGACAGGACACGAUUCUGGCAGGAUGCAUGGGUAGCAGGCCGACGACCAAAAGACAUCGCUCCACAACUCUACGCAAAAACCAAAAGGAAGAAGAAGACAGUGCGAGAGGCAAUCUACAACAAUAACUGGAUCAGAGAUCUUCAGCUCACAACAGGCCUUACAAAGACCUAUGGCCUCUAAUCCAACAAUACCAUUUAAACCCGACUCAGGAGGACGAAAUCACAUGGAAAUUCACCCGGAGCGGUCAGUAUACCACUGCUUCAGCAUAUAAGGCCCAACUCCUAGGCACCGUGAAGACGACUAAUCUUGCAACAGUGUGGCAAGCCUGGGCACCAGCAAAAUGCAAAGUUUUUGCCUGGCUAAUCCUCCAAAAUAGGGUCUGGACUUCGGACAGAUUAGCAAAACGGGGCUGGGACCAAACCCCAACAUGCACCCUGUGCCGAUGCACGAUGGAGACCGCGCACCAUCUCCUAGCCGAAUGCAGAUACACAAAGCAAAUCUGGAAACUCGUAGCCCAAUGGUUGUCACAGGAAAGCCUGCAACCGGAUCAAUGGAAGCACAGCAUAACGGCCAUAAAUUGGUGGACCAAUAUCACAUCAACAACAGGAAUCCCGCGUACAGCGUCCCGAAGCCUCGCCCUCCUUAUUAUGUGGGAAAUAUGGAACGAGCGAAAUUCACGUAUCUUCCGCCACCAGGGUUCCCCGACGACCUCGCUAGUAGCAAAAAUCAAAUCUUCAACCAACAUGUGGGUAGCAGCGGGAGCGAGAGGGUCCUUCUUUUAUAAACACAACACUCUGCCUCUCUAUCCUUUUUCCUUUUUUCCUUUUUCCCUCUUCCUUGCCUGGCUCGCCGGCUGUAACCCUACUCUAUCAAUGAAAUAGGCACACUCUCGUGCCUUUUUCCUUUAAAAAAAAUAUUCGAUAAAAAUGUAAAAUAUCCUACGUUAUCCGUAUCCGCAAAGAAUAAAAUAGCCAACAAAGCCAUCUAAAACUUAUUUAUAUUACUAAAUACUAAUUACAAAUAAUUUUAAUUUUAAUAUUGCUAAUAAAAUAAUUAUUUACACCAUUUAAACUAUUAAAAAAUGAUAGAGUUUACUUAAUUUUAAUAUUACUAAUCAUAUUAAUUUUAACUACAUUAUAUUAUUUAUUAAAUGAAUAAAUCAACAUUAAAUGUAUUAAUGAACUUAUUUUUAUAUUAAGUGAUAACAAAUUUUAUGUAAGUCUCUCUCGUUGCCUGACUGCGUGCGCGACCUGCCUGCCUGUCCUGGCUGCAGUCUCUCUCGUUGGCUCUGAACCUGAUUAGCGAUAACAAAUUUUAUGUAAGUUAUCGCAUGCUACAAAUAGGUAUGAGUAUCACGAAAACAUUUUUAAAAAAUAAAGCGUGAAGAAAGAAACGAACCGAGCACUAUUGUGCAACAAACAAACGGACAAACCAAGAGGGAUGCAUGCAAUGCCAGCUCAGCACCUUCGCCAGCUACUAGUAGAGUAAACAUCAUAUCCUCUUCUGUGAGUUCUCGGAGCCUCAUCAGACGACACUUAGCUGUUCUGCAAUCAACGUCGCAAGGAAAGUACAGACACCCGAAAUCCUGCAACACCCACUAAAAACCAAUGUGAAAUGCAAAACCGCGCCCACUAAGCAAGUAGUAAGCACCAUCAACAUAAUCACGACUAGUCAGUAGAAUAAGAUUACACACCAAAAAAAGAAGAGAUUUUUAGCAUCACGACCUCGGGUCAAGCCGAGGGCGAUGACUCAGACGACGACUAGGGCGCCAGGUCACCCUCACUCACCACCUUCCAUUACCCUGCGCCUUUUUCUUAUUUUCUUGCUUCCACUUGCGCCUUCUAUUUUUCCAAACAAUGGCCACACUUUGACAGCGCCGAUGAUUGCUCUAAAGUAUUGUACGCACCUCCCGGAAAUGAUACUCUCCGUGUACUGAAUCUUGCAGAUCUUCAGUUUCUCGACAAAUUCACUCCUUUCCUGUUCACCGAAAAGGGUGCAUCAUCCUACAAAACAAAUAGUGCAUCACAGACUGAUCCUUUGUCAGUACUAAUACUAUGGUUAAGACAACAGGUUCGUUAAGUGAAGCUGGUAGGACAAGUGAUGGCAGAUCAUGUGAUCAUGUAAAAUAUGAGGGUGUUUGGAUACCCCUUGCUAAACUUUAUCACCUGUCACAUUGGAUGUUUGGAUACUAAUUAGAAGUAUUAAACAUAGUCUAAUUAUAAAACUAAUUACACAGAUGGAGUCUAAUUCGUGAGACGAAUCUAUUAAGCUUGAUUAGUUCAUGAUUUGACAAUGUGGGAGUCUAAUUCGCGAGAUGACUCUAUUAAGCUUAAUUAGUCCAUGAUCUGACAAUGUGGUGCUACAGUAACCAUUUGUUAAUGAUGGAUUAAUUAGCCUUAAUAGAUUUGUCUCGCGAAUUAGACUCCAUCUGUGUAAUUAGUUUUGUAAUUAGCUUAUAUUUUGGUCCUCCUAAUUAGCAUCCGAACAUCUGAUGUGACCCUGCUAAAGUUUAGCACCUCGUAUCCAAACAUCCCCUAGCAGGCUGUGCGUUAUGUGUGACGUCACUAUAUCACAUCAGGCUGUGCGUUAUGUGUGACGUCACUAUAUCACAUCAGGUAAAUCACGGCAGUGAUUCAACAAGGAUUGAUUCGAGGAUGACUAGAAAAAGCAAAUAUUUCGUAGGGUCAGUUGGACUUCUUUUAUGGAUUAUAGCAGGUAGCCACCAAUGAAGCAUACAAGUGUGAACAACAAGCUGCUGCUUUGCCUAUUCUAUACUGCAUUAAAAACGUACAAUGAUAAUGAGGAUUCUCCUAUAGUAGCAUAUGAUCCUUGACUUCAUUUUUUCUUUGUAGCGACCACGACUAGAAGGGAUCAGCAAGAUGGAGGCAGGAGCCACCUCCUUCUUCUACCUUAUGCUCUUCCCUGAUUAGACUCAGAACAUUGGUAUCUCAUCUAGACAGGAAACAAGUUAAGCGUCUGGUUUCCAUGCUACUUUCAACAGGAAGCCAUGCAGCCACUCCAAUUUCCAUACAAGAACUACAGCAGUAGGUUACCCAUACCUUCCCUUGGCUUUGCUGCUCUGCUGCUGAUCUCUUUGGCCACCCUCACCAGCUCUUGCACAGAGCAGGAGAAGAACUCCCUCCUCCAGUUCGUCUCUGGGCUCUCACAGGAUGCUGGCCUUGCAAAGUUAUGGCAGGUAGACACAGAUUGCUGCAAUUGGGAAGGCAUCACCUGCAACGGAAACAAAACAGUUAUUGAUGUCUCUCUAGCAUCUAGAGGCCUUGAGGGGCACAUAUCACAAUCCCUUGGGAACCUCACCGGACUGCAGCAGGUAAACUUGUCCUACAAUUUGCUGUCUGGUGGCCUGGCGCUGGAAUUGGUGUCAUCCAGCAGCAUCAUUGUCCUCGAUGUGAGCUUUAACCAGCUCAACGGAGACCUGCAUGAGUUUCCUUCUUCAAUCCCUGGACGGCCUCUACAGGUACUUAAUAUCUCAAGCAACUUGUUUACUGGGCAGUUUACAUCCACUACAUGGAAGGGGAUGCAGAAUUUGAUUGCACUCAAUGCCAGCAACAAUAGCUUUACUGGGCAUAUUCCAAGUCAUUUCUGUAACAUAUCACCAUCCUUUAGUGUGCUUGAACUCUCUUACAACAAACUCAGUGGUAGUAUCCCCCCAGGACUCGGCAAUUGCUCCAAGCUCAGAGUGCUCAAGGCUGGGCACAAUUACCUCAGUGGGACUCUCCCUGAAGAACUCUUCAAGGCUACCUUGUUGGAGCAUCUUUCUUUUUCCAGCAAUGGUUUACAAGGGAUACUUGAUAGCACGCAUAUAGUCAAACUCGGAAAAAUGGCCAUCCUUGAUCUUGGAGAAAACAAAUUCAGCGGAAUGAUUCCGGACUCCAUAGGUCAGCUCACGAGAUUGCAGGAACUCCAUUUGGAGUACAGCAGCAUGUCUGGGGAGUUGCCAUCAACCUUGAGCAACUGCACAGAUCUCAUAACACUUGACCUUAAGUGCAACAAUUUCAGUGGUGAACUCAACAAGGUCGGUUUCUCCAACUUCCCCAAUCUAAAAACCUUAGAUCUAAUGUGGAACAACUUCAGUGGCACAAUUCCAGAAAGCAUAUACUCAUGCAGAAACCUGAUUGCACUACGGCUGUCUUCAAAUAAGUUCCAUGGACAGUUAUCAAAAGGACUCAGCAAUCUGAAAUCCCUCUCCUUCCUGUCGCUCACAAACAACAGUUUUUCAAAUAUAACAAAUGCACUUCAGAUAUUAAGAAGCUCCAAGAACCUCACCACCCUUCUUCUUGGGUUAAAUUUCAUGAACGAGACCAUGCCAGACAAUGCCAGAAUUGAUGGUUUUGAGAAUCUUCGGGUUUUGGCCAUUACAGAUUGCUUAUUGUCGGGGGAAAUACCUUUUUGGAUAUCAGGGCUAGUGAAUUUGGAGAUGUUGUUUUUGCAAGGUAAUCGACUCACUGGACCAAUACCAGCCUGGAUCAAUACAAUGGAAUACCUUUUCUAUUUAGACAUAUCAAACAACAGCCUUACAGGAGAAAUUCCGACAACAUUAAUGGCUAUGCCAAUGCUAACUUCAGAGAAGACUGCAGCUCAUUUGGACCCAAGGGUCUUUUAUCUGCC